GACGAACGCUGGCGGCGUGCCUAAUACAUGCAAGUAGAACGCUGAAGACAGGAGCUUGCUCGUCUUGGAUGAGUUGCGCACGUGUGAGUAACGCGUAUAUAACCUGCCUUGUUUCGGGGUAAAACUAUGAGACACGAUAUCUAAUCCCGCAUGACUAUGUAUGACACAUUUGGGUUAUGUGAAAUUCGCAAGUUCUGCACGGCAAGGUGGACCUGCGUUGUAUUAGGUAGUAGGUGAGGUAACGGCUCACCUAGGGGACGAUACAUAGCCGAACUGAGAGGGGGAUCGGCCAGACUGGGACUGAGACCCGGCACAGAGGGCUAGGGGAGGCAGCAGUAGGGCAUCUUCGGCAAUGGGGGGAAAACUGAGCGAGAAACGCCGAGGGAGGGAAGAAGGUUUUCGGAUGGUAAAGCUCUGUUGUAAGUUAAGAAAGCGUGUGAGAGUGGAAAGUUGACAGUGUGACGGUAGCUUAUAAGAAAGCAACGGCUAACUACGUG
Molecule: ribosomal RNA, 497 nt
Filed under: uncultured bacterium
Lineage: Bacteria
Description: partial 16S ribosomal RNA
Rfam family: Bacterial small subunit ribosomal RNA
Source: RNAcentral